This 467-nucleotide ribosomal RNA is filed under the name uncultured bacterium. Its description in RNAcentral is "partial 16S ribosomal RNA". It matches the Rfam family "Bacterial small subunit ribosomal RNA", at positions 28 to 507 of the family's 1533-position model. The record is from RNAcentral.
GAUGAACGCUGGCGGCGUGCUUAACACAUGCAAGUCGAACGGAAAGGCUCCUGCUUGCAGGGGUACUCGAGUGGCGAACGGGUGAGUAACACGUGGGUGAUCUGCCCUGCACUUCGGGAUAAGCCUGGGAAACUGGGUCUAAUACCGGAUAGGACCACAUUUUGGAUGGUGUGGUGGAAAGUUUUUCGGUGUGGGAUGAGCUCGCGGCCUAUCAGCUUGUUGGUGGGGUAAUGGCCUACCAAGGCGUCGACGGGUAGCCGGCCUGAGAGGGUGUACGGCCACAUUGGGACUGAGAUACGGCCCAGACUCCUACGGGAGGCAGCAGUGGGGAAUAUUGCACAAUGGGCGCAAGCCUGAUGCAGCGACGCCGCGUGGGGGAUGACGGCCUUCGGGUUGUAACCUCCUUUCGCUAGGGACGAAGCGUUUUUGUGACGGUACCUGGAGAAGAAGCACCGGCUAACUACGUG